Molecule: transfer RNA, 91 nt
Organism: Felis catus (domestic cat)
Lineage: Eukaryota; Metazoa; Chordata; Mammalia; Carnivora; Felidae
Rfam family: tRNA
About the family: Transfer RNA (tRNA) molecules are approximately 80 nucleotides in length. Their secondary structure includes four short double-helical elements and three loops (D, anti-codon, and T loops).
Source: Rfam
GCCUGAGUGGCUCAGUCGGUUGAGCAUCUGACUCUUGAUUUUGGCUCAGGUCAUGAUCCCAGGGUCGUGGGAUCAAGUCCCACAUUGGGCU